This 29-nucleotide non-coding RNA is filed under the name Rattus norvegicus (Norway rat). Lineage: Eukaryota; Metazoa; Chordata; Mammalia; Rodentia; Muridae. The record is from RNAcentral.
UACUUUGUCAAGAAAUUGAAGGGUUUGGG